UGCAAGGGUAAAGGGUAUUGAAUUCAAUUCUAAAUUGCUCCCAGCUGGACUCACUGCACUUAUUUCUUUCAAAGACAUUCCAAAUGGUGGGGAGAACAUAGGUGCUAAGACCAUUUUUGGUCCUGAACCUUUGUUUGCUGAUGAGUUCACUCGAUGUUCAGGAGAAAGACUUGCUCUUGUGGUUGCAGAUACACAGAAACAUGCAGAUGUAGCAUCAAGCAUUGCAGUGGUUGAUUAUGACUUGGAAAAUCUGGACCGUCCCAUUUUAACUGUAGAACAGGCUAUUAAGAGAUCCAGCCUUUUUGAGGUCCCUUCUUUUAUCUACCCCAAACAAAUUGGUGAUGUAUCAAAGGGAAUGGCUGAAGCUGAUCACAAGAUUAUCUCUGCUGAGAUAAAACUAGGAUCACAAUAUUAUUUUUAUAUGGAGAAUCAAACUGCCCUUGCUGUGCCUGAUGAAGAAAACUGCAUGGUGGUUUACAGUUCAACGCAAUGCCCUGAGUUUGCACAUGCUGUAAUUGCUGAAUGUCUUGGGGUUCCUGAACAUAAUGUGCGUGUAAUUACAAGGAGG
Molecule: unclassified non-coding RNA, 568 nt
Filed under: Hevea brasiliensis (rubber tree)
Lineage: Eukaryota; Viridiplantae; Streptophyta; Magnoliopsida; Malpighiales; Euphorbiaceae
Source: RNAcentral